This 86-nucleotide transfer RNA is filed under the name Pseudomonadota bacterium. RNAcentral describes it as "tRNA-Leu". It matches the Rfam family "tRNA". From Rfam's summary of the family: Transfer RNA (tRNA) molecules are approximately 80 nucleotides in length. RNAcentral also lists the same sequence under 1 other name. Lineage: Bacteria; Pseudomonadati; Pseudomonadota. The record is from RNAcentral.
GCCCGAGUGGCGGAAUGGUAGACGCAGGGGAUUCAAAAUCCCCCGCUAGCGAUAGCGUGCCGGUUCGAGUCCGGCCUCGGGUACCA